This 1159-nucleotide long non-coding RNA is filed under the name Brassica rapa (field mustard). RNAcentral describes it as "long non-coding RNA (BRAP_LNC000925)". Lineage: Eukaryota; Viridiplantae; Streptophyta; Magnoliopsida; Brassicales; Brassicaceae. The record is from RNAcentral.
UGUGGUUUAGAAGUUAAGAUCAAAAGAUUAUUUGUGGAUAGUUGAGUAUUCUUUCAGAUUUUUUCAUCAAUAUGUUGUAUUUUUAAAUAAUUUUCUUAAAAACUGCUAUUUUUAGAAAGUUUUCAUUUUAUAUAGAAAUAUUAUAGAUUUGGGUUUGUGAUUUAUAAAUUAGGACUACAAGAAUAUUUGUGGACAGAUAAGUGUUCUUUCAGAAUUUUGCAUCAAUAUGUUGUAUUUUUAUUUAAUUUUUUUAAAAACUGCUAUCUUUGGAAACUUUUCAUUUUUUUAGAAAAAUAUUGUAGAUUUGAGUUUGUGGUUUAGAAGUUAAGAUCAAAAGAUUAUUUGUGGAUAGUUGAGUAUUCUUUCAGAAUUUUUCAUCAAUAUGUUGUAUUUUUAAAUAAUUUUCUUUAAAACUGCUAUUUUUUGAAAGUUUUCAUUUUAUAUAGAAAUAUUGUAGAUUUAGGUUUGUGAUUUAGAAAUUAGGAUUACAAGAAUUUUUGUGGAUAGAUAAGUAUUCUUUCAGAGUUUUUCAUCAAUAUGUUGUAUUUUUAAAUAAUUUUCUUAAAAAUUGCUAUUUUUGGAAAGUGUUCAUUUUUUAGAGAAAUAUUGUAGAUUUGAGUUUGUGGUUUAGGAUUUAAGAUCAAAAGAUUAUUUGUGGAUAGUCGAGUAUUCUUUCAGAUUUUUUCAUCAAUAUCUUGUAUUUUUAAAUAAUUUUCUUAAAAACUGCAAUUUUUAGAAAGUUUUUAUUUUAUAUAGAAAUAUUAUAGAUUUGGGUUUGUGAUUUAGAAAUUAGGACUACAAGAAUAUUUGUGGACAGAUAAGCGUUCUUUCAGAAUUUUGCAUCAAUAUGUUGUAUAUUUAUUUAUUUAUUUUUUAAAACUGCUAUUUUUGAAAACUUUUCAUUUUUUUAGAAAAAUAUUGUAGAUUUGAGUUUGUGGUUUAGAAGUUAAGAUCAAAAGAUUAUUUGUGGAUAGUUGAGUAUUCUUUCAGAAUUUUUCAUCAAUAUGUUGUAUUUUUAAAUAAUUUUCUUUAAAACUGCUAUUUUUAGAAAGUUUUCAUUUUAUAUAGAAAUAUUGUAGAUUUGGGUUUGUGAUUUAGAAAUUAGGAUUACAAGAAUUUUUGUGGAUAGAUAAGUAUUCUUUCAGAGUUUUUCAUCAAU